GACGAACGCUGGCGGCGUGCUUAACACAUGCAAGUCGAACGGAAAGGCCCUGCUUUUGUGGGGUGCUCGGGUGGCGAACGGGGGAGUAACCCGUGAGUAACCUGCCAUUGACUUUGGGAUGACUUCAGACAACUGGGGCUAAUACCGGAUAGGAGCUCCUGCUGCAUGGUGGGGGUUGGAAAGUUUCGGCGGUUGGGGUUGGACUCGCGGCUUAUCAGCUUGUUGGUGGGGUAGUGGCUUAACAAGGCUUUGCCGGGUAGCCGGCCUGACAGGGUGACCGGCCACAUUGGGACUGAGAUACGGCCCAGACUCCUACGGGAGGCAGCAGUGGGGAAUAUUGCACAAUGGGCUGAAGCCUGAUGCAGCAAAGCCGCGUGCGGGAUGACGGCCUUCGGUUUGUAAACCGCUUUCGUUUGUGACGAAGCGUGAGUGACGGUAACGGGUAAAGAAGCCCCGGCUAACUACGUG
This 468-nucleotide ribosomal RNA is filed under the name uncultured bacterium. Its description in RNAcentral is "partial 16S ribosomal RNA". It matches the Rfam family "Bacterial small subunit ribosomal RNA", at positions 28 to 507 of the family's 1533-position model. The record is from RNAcentral.